GAUGGAAGGAAGCUGGAUGAGUUCUACUGUGAGAGAUAAAGUUACGUUUCUUUGUACAUUUAUGUCUUGCGGUCUGAUAGAAAAGAAGUUUCAGAAAUGCAGCCAACAGUGCACUCUGGUGGCGGGUUUCAGUAUUAACCAUCUGUAAAACAGGCGCUAGAAAGGCUUUGCUUUAAGAUGGAAUCAGCACACAGUUACAGCUUUUGGUGCUAGUCAGCCCUGUAGUUUGCAGAUGGGGGGGGUCUACAUAGUAGUCAUGGUUACCAAGCUCUGCGUUUCCC
Pelobates cultripes (western spadefoot toad) is the source of this 281-nucleotide non-coding RNA. NCBI's taxonomy places the organism in Eukaryota, Metazoa, Chordata, Amphibia, Anura, Pelobatidae. The record is from the annotation of a GenBank genome assembly.